This 409-nucleotide RNase P RNA is filed under the name Chloroflexota bacterium. Its description in RNAcentral is "RNase P RNA component class A". It matches the Rfam family "Bacterial RNase P class A". From Rfam's summary of the family: Ribonuclease P (RNase P) is a ubiquitous endoribonuclease, found in archaea, bacteria and eukarya as well as chloroplasts and mitochondria. Its best characterised activity is the generation of mature 5'-ends of tRNAs by cleaving the 5'-leader elements of precursor-tRNAs. Lineage: Bacteria; Bacillati; Chloroflexota. The record is from RNAcentral.
CAGGUCAGCCAGGUGGUUGCGCCCCCUUCGGGGGGUGAGGAAAGUCCGCACUCCAUCGAGCACGGUGCCGGAUAACGUCCGGGGCGGAGAGAUCUGCCGGAUCGGGCCACAGAAACAUACCGCUCCUCCGGGAGUAAGGGUGAAAUGGUGGUGUAAGAGACCACCGGCGGGGGCAGCAAUGCCUCCGGCCGGGCAACCCCCACCGGGAGCAAGGCCAAACAGGGAUGAACUCCUUCGGGAGGGGAGGCUGCUCGUCUCCCUUGAAUUCCAGGUAGGCUGCAGCGAGGUAUGCUGAGAAGCAUGCCCCAGACAGAUAAUCACCUCAGUGGAGAGUUAGGGAGGAAGCCCCUCGGGGCGUAAACCGGGAUCCUCCACCAGACAGAAUGCGGCUUAUCGGCUGGCCUGGGUA